Anguilla anguilla (European eel) is the source of this 200-nucleotide long non-coding RNA. RefSeq lists it as uncharacterized. Lineage: Eukaryota; Metazoa; Chordata; Actinopteri; Anguilliformes; Anguillidae. The record is from RefSeq and is a predicted model, not a curated record. The transcript is spliced from 3 exons.
CCUUCUUAUGUUGAGCUAAGUAAAGCAGGUGUUCGGUAGAGAGUGUACAGGCCGGGUGUGGUGUUCAGCAGGUGUUCAGUAAGGAGUGUAAAGGCUGGGUGGUGUUAAGCAGGUGUUCAGUAAGGAGUGUAAAGGCUGGGUGGUGUUAAGCAGGUGUUCAGUAAGGAGUGUAAAGGCUGGGUGGUGUUAAGCAGGUGUUC